AUUGAACGCUGGCGGCAGGCCUAACACAUGCAAGUCGAGCGGCAGCGGGAAAGUAGCUUGCUACUUUUGCCGGCGAGCGGCGGACGGGUGAGUAAUGCCUGGGGAUCUGCCCAGUCGAGGGGGAUAACUACUGGAAACGGUAGCUAAUACCGCAUACGCCCUACGGGGGAAAGCAGGGGACCUUCGGGCCUUGCGCGAUUGGAUGAACCCAGGUGGGAUUAGCUAGUUGGUGAGGUAAUGGCUCACCAAGGCGACGAUCCCUAGCUGGUCUGAGAGCAUGAUCAGCCACACUGGAACGGAGACACGGUCCAGACUCCUACGGGAGGCAGCAGUGGGGAAUAUUGCACAAUGGGGGAAACCCUGAUGCAGCCAUGCCGCGUGUGUGAAGAAGGCCUUCGGGUUGUAAAGCACUUUCAGCGAGGAGGAAAGGUUGGUAGCUAAUAACUGCCAGCUGUGACGUUACUCGCAGAAGAAGCACCGGCUAACUCCGUGCCAGCAGCCGCAGUAA
This 508-nucleotide ribosomal RNA is filed under the name uncultured bacterium. Its description in RNAcentral is "partial 16S ribosomal RNA". It matches the Rfam family "Bacterial small subunit ribosomal RNA", at positions 29 to 523 of the family's 1533-position model. The record is from RNAcentral.